UACGAAGGGGGCUAGCGUUGCUCGGAAUUACUGGGCGUAAAGGGCGCGUAGGCGGAUAGUUUAGUCAGAGGUGAAAGCCCAGGGCUCAACCUUGGAAUUGCCUUUGAUACUGGCUAUCUUGAGUAUGGAAGAGGUAUGUGGAACUCCGAGUGUAGAGGUGAAAUUCGUAGAUAUUCGGAAGAACACCAGUGGCGAAGGCGACAUACUGGUCCAUUACUGACGCUGAGGCGCGAAAGCGGGGGGAGCAAACAGGAUUAGAUACCCUGGUAGUCCACGCUGUAAACGUUGGGAACUAGGUGUGGGGCCUGUCAUGGGUUCUGCGCCGGCGCUAACGCAUUAAGUUCCCCGCCUGGGGAGUACGGCCGCAAGGCUAAA
This 375-nucleotide ribosomal RNA is filed under the name uncultured bacterium. Its description in RNAcentral is "bacterial SSU rRNA". It matches the Rfam family "Bacterial small subunit ribosomal RNA", at positions 524 to 898 of the family's 1533-position model. The record is from RNAcentral.